GCUGGCGACCAUAGCAAGAGUGAACCACCUGAUCCCUUCCCGAACUCAGAAGUGAAACCUCUUAGCGCUGAUGGUAGUGUGGGGUUACCCAUGUGAGAGUAA
This 102-nucleotide ribosomal RNA is filed under the name Acinetobacter lwoffii. The record is from RNAcentral. Lineage: Bacteria; Pseudomonadati; Pseudomonadota; Gammaproteobacteria; Moraxellales; Moraxellaceae. RNAcentral also lists the same sequence under 2 other names.